GAUGAACGCUGGCGGCGUGCCUAAUACAUGCAAGUCGAGCGAACGGACGAGAAGCUUGCUUCUCUGAUGUUAGCGUCGGACGGGUGAGUAACACGUGGAUAACCUACCUAUAAGACUGGGAUAACUUCGGGAAACCGUAGCUAAUACCGGAUAAUAUUUUGAACCGCAUGGUUCAAAAGUGAAAGACGGUCUUGCUGUCACUUAUAGAUGGAUCCGCGCUGCAUUAGCUAGUUGGUAAGGUAAAGGCUUACCAAGGCAACGAUGCAUAGCCGACCUGAGAGGGUGAACGGCCACACUGGAAAUGAGACACGGGCCAGACUCCUAAGGGAGGCAGCAGUAGGGAAUCUUCCGCAAUGGGCGAAAGCCUGACGGAGCAAAGCCGCGUGAGUGAUGAAGGUCUUCGGAUCGUAAAACUCUGUUAGUAGGGAAGAACAUAUGUGUAAGUAACUGUGCACAGCUUGACGGUAACUAAUCAGAAAGCCACGGCUAACUACGUG
This 497-nucleotide ribosomal RNA is filed under the name uncultured bacterium. RNAcentral describes it as "partial 16S ribosomal RNA". It matches the Rfam family "Bacterial small subunit ribosomal RNA", at positions 28 to 507 of the family's 1533-position model. The record is from RNAcentral.